UCCGGUGGCCGCAGAGAAUAGGCCCAAGCGACUGUUUACCAAAAACAUAGGUUUCUGCUAAGUCGCAAGACGAUGUAUAGGAGCUGACGCCUGCCCGGUGCUGGAAGGUUAAGGGGAUCUGUUAGAGCAAUCGAAGCAGUGAACUUAAGCCCCAGUAAACGGCGGCCGUAACUAUAACGGUCCUAAGGUAGCGAAAUUCCUUGUCGGGUAAGUUCCGACCCGCACGAAAGGCGUAACGAUUUGGGCACUGUCUCA
This 255-nucleotide ribosomal RNA is filed under the name Clostridioides difficile. RNAcentral describes it as "partial 23S ribosomal RNA". It matches the Rfam family "Bacterial large subunit ribosomal RNA", at positions 1769 to 2023 of the family's 2925-position model. Lineage: Bacteria; Bacillati; Bacillota; Clostridia; Peptostreptococcales; Peptostreptococcaceae. The record is from RNAcentral.